GUUACUUUCAACUUCACCCUGAAAAUCUCCCAUGGUGGUUAGCAUUAAAACGAUGCGCGAGUGCACAGCUGCUGCACCUCCCUGUGAAGGAACAGGGCACUGUCACAAGGAGACUGUGUGGGACAAAGACAAAGCAUAGAGAAAAAGGAAAGCUGAACUGUGCUGGAAAAAGACCAUGGCUCAAACAUUAUAGAGCCAGAGUCAUUUUAUCAAUAAGUACAUAGAUCUGCUCACGCAGGAUUCAGAGCAUCUGGACGCCUCAGCCUCUACAUCAGCAGAGCAUAGGUACCUAAGCAUGCUCGUAGUGACGCAGUGUUCUUAAUAAUUCAACUUGUAUUGUAUUCUCAAUAUCCAGUCAGUACAUUUAUGUCAG
Long non-coding RNA from Ictalurus punctatus (channel catfish), 373 nucleotides. RefSeq lists it as uncharacterized. The transcript is spliced from 3 exons. NCBI's taxonomy places the organism in Eukaryota, Metazoa, Chordata, Actinopteri, Siluriformes, Ictaluridae. The record is from RefSeq and is a predicted model, not a curated record.